AUGAUGAACUCGAGGUUUGCGAUGGCUGCGUGGUGGCUUUGUGGAUUCCUCCCGCUCCUAGCCGUGGCCGCGGCCGCUGCGGAUGGGGCGAAGGGGAGCUCAGAGCCGCUGAUCCGGCUGUCGACGGAGAAUGGGCAUGCCCCUACCCCCGCGCCUCGCCCCGCCGCGUCGGCGGCGGAAGAAGGGGUGAUGAAGUGGGCCGUGCUCGUCGCGGGCUCCUCCGGCUACGGCAACUACCGGCACCAGCGACUGUGUGUUGUUGUUGAUGCACGGCACGACGUACAGGCCGAUGUGUGCCACGCGUACCAGAUCCUGAAGAAGGGAGGCCCCAAGGAUGACAACAUUGUGGUGUUUAUGUACAAUGACAUCGCGGACAGCCCUCACAACCCAAGGCGUGGAGUCGUCAUCAACCAUCCUAAAGGCAAAGAUGUUUACCAUGGUGUUCCCAAAGACUACACUGGCGAGCAGGUUACUGCUAAGAACUUGUAUGCGGUUCUCCUGGGGAACAAAACCGCGGUUACUGGAGGGACUAUCCUUAUCAAGCUUGACGGACCAAAUGUUUAUGCUGACGACUUCAUCAAAGUGUUGCGGCAAAAGCAUGCUUCCAAAAGCUAUUCGAAAAUGAUCAUAUAUGUUGAAGCGUGUGAAAGUGGUAGCAUCUUUGAGGGUUUGUUGCCACAAGAUCUUAAUAUUUAUGUUACAACGGCAGCAAAUGCGGUAGAAGGUAGCUGGGCAGCAUACUGCCCUAGGAUGGAAAUGCCACCUCCACCUGAAUAUGAUACAUGUUUAGGUGACUUAUACAGUGUUUCUUGGAUGGAGGAUAGUGAAACUCACAAUCUAAAGAAGGAAACAAUCAAGCAGCAGUACGAGGUAGUUAAAGCGAGAACGGCACCCCUGAAUGAGUCCAGUAUAGGUUCUCAUGUCAUGGAGUAUGGUGACACGACAUUCAAGGGUGACAUGCUUUUCCUCUAUCAAGGUUUCGAUCCUGCAAAGUCAUACAUCCCAAACAGGCAGCGUUUGCCCAGCCUUAAGGGUGCAAUCAAUCAAAGAGACGCCGAUAUUCUUUUCAUGUGGAACAAGUAUGAGAAGUUGAAUGGGGGAUCAGAAGAGAAGCAAAGGGCCCUCAGGGAGGUCAAACUGUUCUACACAGGAAGCAUCUGGACAGCAGUGCGAGUUUUUGAGUCCCAGUGCGGAUCACUCACUUGGUAUGGCAUGAAACACAUGAGGGCGUUCGCAAACAUCUGCAACAAUGGCGUCUCCAAGACCAAGAUGAAGGAGGCAAGCAUCAGCGCUUGUGACGGCUACGACUUGGGGAAGUGGAGCCCGUUGGUUCAAGGGCACAGCGCCUAA
RNAcentral lists this ribosomal RNA (1350 nucleotides) under Triticum aestivum (bread wheat). RNAcentral's name for it is "partial small subunit ribosomal RNA". Lineage: Eukaryota; Viridiplantae; Streptophyta; Magnoliopsida; Poales; Poaceae. The record is from RNAcentral.